This 444-nucleotide ribosomal RNA is filed under the name uncultured Bacteroidota bacterium. Its description in RNAcentral is "bacterial SSU rRNA". It matches the Rfam family "Bacterial small subunit ribosomal RNA", at positions 917 to 1359 of the family's 1533-position model. The record is from RNAcentral. Lineage: Bacteria; Pseudomonadati; Bacteroidota.
GGGCCCGCACAAGCGGAGGAACAUGUGGUUUAAUUCGAUGAUACGCGAGGAACCUUACCCGGGCUCGAACGGCUUUUGAAUUUUGGUGAAAGCCAAAAGUUCGCAAGAACAGAAGUCGAGGUGCUGCAUGGUUGUCGUCAGCUCGUGCCGUGAGGUGUCGGCUUAAGUGCCAUAACGAGCGCAACCCUUAUCGUUAGUUACCAUCAGGUCAUGCUGGGGACUCUAGCGAGACUGCCACCGUAAGGUGUGAGGGGAAGGUGGGGAUGACGUCAAAUCAGCACGGCCCUUACGUCCGGGGCUACACACGUGUUACAAUGGGUGGGACAGAAGGCCGCUACCUGGCAACAGGAUGCAAAUCCCCAAACCCACUCCCAGUUCGGAUCGAAGUCUGCAACCCGACUUCGUGAAGCUGGAUUCGCUAGUAAUCGCGCAUCAGCCAUGGCG